RNAcentral lists this ribosomal RNA (306 nucleotides) under uncultured bacterium. Its description in RNAcentral is "partial 16S ribosomal RNA". It matches the Rfam family "Bacterial small subunit ribosomal RNA", at positions 507 to 807 of the family's 1533-position model. The record is from RNAcentral.
GACAGCAGCCGCCGCGGGAACACGUAGGUGGCAAGCGUUGUUCGGAAUUAUUGGGCGUAAAGGGCUCGCAGGCGGUUUCUUAAGUCUGAUGUGAAAGCCCCCGGCUCAACCGGGGAGGGUCAUUGGAAACUGGGAAACUUGAGUGCAGAAGAGGAGAGUGGAAUUCCACGUGUAGCGGUGAAAUGCGUAGAGAUGUGGAGGAACACCAGUGGCGAAGGCGACUCUCUGGUCUGUAACUGACGCUGAGGAGCGAAAGCGUGGGGAGCGAACAGGAUUAGAUACCCCUGUAGUCCCUGUCUCUUAUAC